Molecule: long non-coding RNA, 818 nt
Filed under: Crocodylus porosus (Australian saltwater crocodile)
Lineage: Eukaryota; Metazoa; Chordata; Crocodylia; Crocodylidae
Description: lncRNA (ENSCPRG00005008029.1)
Source: RNAcentral
UUUGUAGCUGCCUUGCCCUCCUCUCAACCUUUGCAACUUCUCCUCAGUUCCCAGCCUAACCAAGUAACCUUCAAGGAAGAAAAUUCAGGAUGUGGUCCUGGAUGCCUCACAAGCCUAUGUAACUGGAAUGUGGCUUCUGUUAUUCCUUUGCAUGGAAGAAUGAAGGCUGGCAUUACUUGCAAAGGUGUGGGUGAGCCUCAGUGGCUCUGCAAUAAGAUAUGUUGAUUCAUCAGACCUGUCCUCUGGGCCAUUCACUAGCCUUACUUACUGCAGCUGCCAGCGCGUGCGGGAUCGGAAGCCGAGCUGAGAACGGCGGUUGGCAAUUAGCAGAGCGAGGGCAGCGAGCGCGACGGCUCGUAGGCUGGAGGUUUCCAUCUGCACUGAUUCCCGUGGGCUGCGUUUAUUCAUCGUGCCUGGGCGUGGAACAAAAGCUGUGUCGAACAAGCAGCCCGCUGCUCUGGGCACUUCUGCCUCCAUGGUGCCACGUGUGAACAGAAAACAGGCCGAGCCCAGGGUAGGGCCGCCACCCCGAUGCCAGGCCCAGUGCUAGUGCUGUCUCCCCGGAGGGAGAAGCCUGCCCGUCCCAAGGCGGCUGCCUGGGGCAGGGAGCCAGAGCCCUGGCCCUUGCUUACAUUGUAAAGCCCACUUUACCCCAAUACUUGAAUGAACUCCCCCUUUCAGAGGGAGUUUGGCACUCUGAAGUUAAAACUGAGAUGUCCCUACUUGAACGUUCAGGAUUAGGCCUGAUGAAAAGUCUUCUGGAAUCAAUGGGACUAUUUCGGCUGGCAGCGCUGCGCUUUGGGUCAGGCCUUACUGAG